Long non-coding RNA from Homo sapiens (human), 928 nucleotides. RefSeq lists it as uncharacterized. Lineage: Eukaryota; Metazoa; Chordata; Mammalia; Primates; Hominidae. The transcript is spliced from 3 exons. The record is from RefSeq and is a predicted model, not a curated record.
UCUUCUGUAGCACCGCUGAAGUUUGCUGGGAGUCAACUCCAGACCUUAUUUGCCUGAGUCCCUUCUUAACAUGGAGGUAUCACCAGUGGAGGCUAGAGAACAGCAAAGAUGGCAGCCUUCUUCUUCUUCUGGGAGCUCUGUCCCAGAGGCACACUGACCUAUUGCCAGCCAGAACACCCCUGUAUGAGGUACCCAAACUAAGAAGCCGAUGAAACUAGUUUUUCAGCCCUUAGCACAUCACCCAUAAAUGGAGACAAGGUGAUCAAGAGAUGCUGAGGAGGGCUGAUAGUGGAGAGAAUUGUUGGAAAGCAUGAAUUUCCCCAACCACAGAAGAAAGAGCCUGUGGUUUAUUUUCUCUUGUCUGGACACUGUUCCAUGAACCCCAGGAGAGAGGCAUCAUCACAGAAGCCUUGGCAUUUGUCAAACGAUGAGCAGCGUGAGGUGAUGGAGCCAGGCACCCAGCAGGGACCCAGUAGAUGCUGCAUGGGCUGGCUGGCAGGUGGCCCUGAUGACUUUGGGAGUUGGGGAAUCUGCACUGACUGCCUGUUUGUCUCCUGUCUGGGGAUGAAGUGGGAGGACUCUUCAGUGAAAAAGCACAGCUAACUCCAAAGUCACAUUUUCCAAAGCAGCCUUGCCAUUUACCUGCUUUGGUUUACAGAAAGAAACAAGGCUUCAUCUUUGAUCCUAUGUUCCUCAAUGCGUUGUAGCUUUUGAGUCUUAUCUGAACUGAUGUCCAGACUGACACAUUUUGGGGAAGAGCAUCCCCAGCAUGCUGACAGAUGGCUGGCACACCUGUCUUCCUGAGUCUUGGUUCCAAAAACAAUACAGCAUUUUGCUUGUUCAAGAUUUCUGUGUAAAAAUUUACACGUUUUCUAGAGAAUAUGCAGAAAGUGAAAACUGUAAAUGUAAACUAGUAUAAUUUGAAAAC